This 546-nucleotide ribosomal RNA is filed under the name uncultured bacterium. Its description in RNAcentral is "bacterial SSU rRNA". It matches the Rfam family "Bacterial small subunit ribosomal RNA", at positions 777 to 1335 of the family's 1533-position model. The record is from RNAcentral.
AAUAGAUACCCGGGUAGUCCACGCCGUAAACUAUGGAUGCUAGCUGUGACACAUAUCGACCUGUGCCGUAGCGAAGUUAACGCGUUAAGCAUCCCGCCUGGGGAGUACGGUCGCAAGAUUAAAACUCAAAGGAAUUGACGGGGACCCGCACAAGCGGUGGAGCGUGUUGUUUAAUUCGAUGGUAAGCGAAGAACCUUACCCAGGUUUGACAUCCCGAGAAGGCUUCCGAAAGGAAACUGUGCUUUAUUGAACUCGGUGACAGGUGCUGCAUGGCCGUCGUCAGCUCGUGUCGUGAGAUGUAUGGUUAAGUCCAUUAACGAGCGCAACCCUUAUGUUUAGUUGGAUUUUUCUAAACUAGACUGCCCUGGUAACAGGGAGGAAGGAGGGGAUGAUGUCAGGUCAGUAUUGCCCUUACACCUGGGGCUACAAACACGCUACAAUGGCCGGUACAAAGGGCUGCUAAGUCGCGAGACGGAGCUAAUCCCAUCAAAGCCGGUCUCAGUUCGGAUAGCAGGCUGAAACUCGCCUGCUUGAAGCCGGAAUCGC